This 253-nucleotide ribosomal RNA is filed under the name uncultured bacterium. Its description in RNAcentral is "partial 16S ribosomal RNA". It matches the Rfam family "Bacterial small subunit ribosomal RNA", at positions 524 to 776 of the family's 1533-position model. The record is from RNAcentral.
UACAGAGGUCUCAAGCGUUGUUCGGAUUCAUUGGGCGUAAAGGGUGCGUAGGUGGCAUGGUCAGUCGGAUGUGAAAUCCCGGGGCUCAGCCCCGGAACUGCAUUCGAUACUGCCGCGCUAGAGUACUGGAGAGGAGAUUGGAAUUUACGGUGUAGCAGUGAAAUGCGUAGAUAUCGUAAGGAAGACCAGUGGCGAAGGCGGAUCUCUGGACAGUUACUGACACUGAGGCACGAAGGCCAGGGGAGCAAACGGG